This 872-nucleotide ribosomal RNA is filed under the name uncultured bacterium. RNAcentral's name for it is "bacterial SSU rRNA". It matches the Rfam family "Bacterial small subunit ribosomal RNA", at positions 571 to 1441 of the family's 1533-position model. The record is from RNAcentral.
GUAGGUGGUUCGNUGCGUCGUCUGUGAAAUUCCGGGGCUUAACUUCGGGGUGGCAGGCGAUACGGGCAUAACUAGAGUGCUGUAGGGGAGACUGGAAUUCCUGGUGUAGCGGUGGAAUGCGCAGAUAUCAGGAGGAACACCGAUGGCGAAGGCAGGUCUCUGGGCAGUAACUGACGCUGAGGAGCGAAAGCAUGGGGAGCGAACAGGAUUAGAUACCCUGGUAGUCCAUGCUGUAAACGGUGGGCGUUAGGUGUGGGGACCGGUUUGGUUUCUGUGCCGUAGCUAACGCAUUAAGCGCCCCGCCUGGGGAGUACGGCCGCAAGGCUAAAACUCAAAGGAAUUGACGGGGGCCCGCACAAGCGGCGGAGCAUGUGGAUUAAUUCGAUGCAACGCGAAGAACCUUACCUGGGUUUGACAUGCACCAGACGGUUGUAGAGAUACGUACCUCCCUUUGUGGUUGGUGUGCAGGUGGUGCAUGGUUGUCGUCAGCUCGUGUCGUGAGAUGUUGGGUUAAGUCCCGCAACGAGCGCAACCCUUGUCUUAUGUUGCCAGCACUUUAGGUGGGGACUCAUGAGAGACUGCCGGGGUUAACUCGGAGGAAGGUGGGGAUGACGUCAAAUCAUCAUGCCCUUUAUGCCCAGGGCUUCACACAUGCUACAAUGGUUAGUACAACGCGCGGCAAACCUGUGAGGGUGAGCGAAUCGCUGAAAGCUAAUCUCAGUUCGGAUUGGGGUCUGCAACUCGACCCCAUGAAGUCGGAGUCGCUAGUAAUCGCAGAUCAGCAAUGCUGCGGUGAAUACGUUCCCGGGCCUUGUACACACCGCCCGUCACGUCAUGAAAGUUGGUAACACCCGAAGCCCAUGGCCUAACCA